RNAcentral lists this ribosomal RNA (254 nucleotides) under uncultured bacterium. Its description in RNAcentral is "partial 16S ribosomal RNA". It matches the Rfam family "Bacterial small subunit ribosomal RNA", at positions 524 to 776 of the family's 1533-position model. The record is from RNAcentral.
UACGUAGGGUGCAAGCGUUAUCCGGAAUCAUUGGGCGUAAAGAGCUCGUAGGCGGUUCAGCAAGUCGGCUGUGAAAGUCCGAGGCUCAACCUCGGAAUUGCAGUCGAUACUGCUGUGACUCGAGUCCGGUAGAGGAGAAUGGAAUUCUCGGUGUAGCGGUGAAAUGCGCAGAUAUCGAGAGGAACACCAGUAGCGAAGGCGGUUCUCUGGGCCGGCACUGACGCUGAGGAGCGAAAGCGUGGGGAGCAAACAGG